This 1599-nucleotide unclassified non-coding RNA is filed under the name Hevea brasiliensis (rubber tree). Lineage: Eukaryota; Viridiplantae; Streptophyta; Magnoliopsida; Malpighiales; Euphorbiaceae. The record is from RNAcentral.
UAUCGUUUUGCCUCUCCGCCGAAACACAACACAGUUGGUGAAGGGUGAAACAAGUUUCAACUGUUGUGUGGCCAUGGCUCUGAUUUUGCAUUCAACAGACAACAACAAAAAUGCCUCAAAGGCACUCAUUGCAGCUGAGUACACAGGUGUUAAGGUUGAUCUUGCAAAGGACUUCCAGAUGGGUGUAUCCAACAAGACACCUGAGUUUCUUGAGAUGAAUCCCAUUGGAAAGGUUCCUGUGCUUCAAACACCUGAUGGACCUGUUUUUGAGAGCAAUGCCAUUGCGCGUUAUGUUACCAAAACAAAGCCCAACAAUCCUCUUUUUGGCUCUUCAUUGAUUGAAUAUGCUCAAAUUGAACAAUGGAAUGAUUUUUCUGCCACUGAAAUUGAUGCAAACAUUGCACGAUGGCUGUACCCACGCCUUGGCUAUGCUGUUUACAUCUCUCAAGCUGAGGAAGGUGCAGUAGCUGCAUUAAAGAGAGCGCUUGGUGCUUUGAACACCCAUCUUGCAUCUAACACAUACUUGGUUGGACAUUUUAUCACACUGGCUGACAUCAUCAUGGUCUGUAACUUGAGCAUUGGUUUUAGGAUGAUAUUGACCAAGAGCUUUACCAAGGAAUUUCCACAUGUAGAGAGAUAUUUCUGGACUGUUGUUAAUCAGCCUAAUUUCGUCAAGAUAUUGGGUGAGGUGAAACAAGCUGAAUCUAUCCCUGCUGUGCAAUCCAAGCCUGCACAACCUGAAAAACUCAAGGCUAAGGAGGAGCCAAAGAAGGAGGUUAAGAAGGAAGAACCAAGUCCUGUAGAGGAGGAAGCAGCACCCAAGCCUAAGGCAAAGAAUCCUCUUGAUUUAUUGCCUCCAAGUAAGAUGAUUCUGGAUGAUUGGAAGAGGCUUUACUCCAACACCAAGACUAACUUCCGUGAGGUUGCUGUUAAAGGUUUCUGGGACAUGUAUGACCCCGAAGGAUAUUCUCUCUGGUUUUGUGAUUACAAGUACAAUGAUGAGAACACAGUUUCGUUUGUAACCUUGAACAAGGUUGGUGGUUUUCUGCAGAGGAUGGAGCUGGUACGCAAGUAUGCUUUUGGUAAGAUGUUGAUUGUUGGUUCUGAGGCCCCAUUCAAGGUGCAGGGCUUGUGGCUUUUCCGUGGGAAGGAAAUUCCCAAGUUUGUUAUGGAGGAAGUGUAUGACAUGGAACUCUAUGAAUGGAAGGAAGUAGACAUCAAUGAUGAGGCCCAGAAGGAGCGAGUUAGCCAAAUGAUUGAAGAUCACGAGCCUUUUGAGGGACAGGCUUUGUUGGACGCCAAGUGCUUCAAGUAAAAAACAACACUGUAUUGGAGAUUGAGCAAUGUUACCUUUUGACUGAGGCUGUAGUUUACUCUGGUUUUGUCCUCCCAAAUUUACUUAGAUUCUUGUUUUAAACACUAUCUUGUCUUAAGAGAAACUAUUAUCUUUGCAGUGUUUUUUUUCUUCAAGUUAUUGAUUUCAUAUGGUUCAUGGGAUAUCUGUGGUUGAAAUUUGUUAUCCUUUUCAACUAAAGCAGUUUUGACAGUCAGGUGAAUCACCCCUUUUAGCAUAUGCUAACUUCUAUUUAGACUGAUCAA